CCCAUCGAUGUCGACAGAGUUUGAUCCUGGCUCAGGAUGAACGCUGCGGCGUGCUUAACACAUGCAAGUCGAACGAUGAACCUCGCUUGCGGGGGGAUUAGUGGCGAACGGGUGAGUAACACGUGAGUAACCUGCCCUUAACUCUGGGAUAAGCCUUGGAAACGGGGUCUAAUACUGGAUAUUGACUUUUCCUCGCAUGGGGAUUGGUUGAAAGAUUUAUUGGUUUUGGAUGGACUCGCGGCCUAUCAGCUUGUUGGUGAGGUAAUGGCUCACCAAGGCGACGACGGGUAGCCGGCCUGAGAGGGUGACCGGCCACACUGGGACUGAGACACGGCCCAGACUCCUACGGGAGGCAGCAGUGGGGAAUAUUGCACAAUGGGCGAAAGCCUGAUGCAGCGACGCCGCSUGAGGGAUGACGGCCUUCGGGUUGUAAACCUCUUUC
Molecule: ribosomal RNA, 442 nt
Filed under: Arthrobacter sp. 109-2
Lineage: Bacteria; Bacillati; Actinomycetota; Actinomycetes; Micrococcales; Micrococcaceae
Description: SSU rRNA
Rfam family: Bacterial small subunit ribosomal RNA
Source: RNAcentral